This 634-nucleotide ribosomal RNA is filed under the name uncultured bacterium. Its description in RNAcentral is "bacterial SSU rRNA". The stretch from base 1 to 545 matches the Rfam family "Bacterial small subunit ribosomal RNA", at positions 338 to 873 of the family's 1533-position model. The record is from RNAcentral.
CCUACGGGAGGCAGCAGUAGGGAAUCUUCCGCAAUGGACGAAAGUCUGACGGAGCAACGCCGCGUGAACGAUGAAGGCCUUCGGGUCGUAAAGUUCUGUUGUUAGGGAAGAACAAGUGCUAGUUGAAUAAGCUGGCACCUUGACGGUACCUAACCAGAAAGCCACGGCUAACUACGUGCCAGCAGCCGCGGUAAUACGUAGGUGGCAAGCGUUGUCCGGAAUUAUUGGGCGUAAAGCGCGCGCAGGCGGUUUCUUAAGUCUGAUGUGAAAGCCCCCGGCUCAACCGGGGAGGGUCAUUGGAAACUGGGAAACUUGAGUGCAGAAGAGGAAAGUGGAAUUCCAAGUGUAGCGGUGAAAUGCGUAGAGAUUUGGAGGAACACCAGUGGCGAAGGCGACUUUCUGGUCUGUAACUGACGCUGAGGCGCGAAAGCGUGGGGAGCAAACAGGAUUAGAUACCCUGGUAGUCCACGCUGUAAACGAUGAGUGCUAAGUGUUAGAGGGUUUCCGCCCUUUAGUGCUGAAGUUAACGCAUUAAGCACUCCGCCUGGGGGAGGUACGGUCGCAGACAGAACUACAAAUAGAAGUUAGUACGGCGUGAGACGUCGCCGACGGACGACCGACGAGGGAGGUUAGG